AGAGUUUGAUCAUGGCUCAGGACGAACGCUGGCGGCGUGCCUAACACAUGCAAGUCGAACGAGGGCCGGUUGGUGGCAACACCGACUGGUUCCUAGUGGCGAACGGGUGAGUAUCACGUGAGCAACCUACCCCGAAGACUGGGAUAACCCCGGGAAACCGGAGCUAAUACCAGAUGUCCCCAAUGGAUCGCAUGGUCCUUUGAGGAAAUGGAUUCCGCUUCGGGAGGGGCUCGCGGCCUAUCAGCUAGUUGGUGAGGUAACGGCUCACCAAGGCUUCGACGGGUAGCUGGUCUGAGAGGACGAUCAGCCACACUGGGACUGAGACACGGCCCAGACUCCUACGGGAGGCAGCAGUGGGGAAUCUUGCGCAAUGGGCGAAAGCCUGACGCAGCAACGCCGCGUGAGGGACGAAGGCUUUCUGAGUUGUAAACCUCUUUCAGCAGGGACGAUGAUGACGGUACCUGCAGAAGAAGCCCCGGCCAACUACGUGCCAGCAGCCGCGGUAAUACGUAGGGGGCGAGCGUUGUCCGGAUUCAUUGGGCGUAAAGAGCUCGUAGGCGGCUUGGCAAGUCGGGUGUGAAACCUCCAGGCUCAACCUGGAGCCGCCACUCGAUACUGCUAUGGCUAGAGUCUGGCAGGGGACCACGGAAUUCCUGGUGUAGCGGUGAAAUGCGCAGAUAUCAGGAGGAACACCAGUGGCGAAGGCGGUGGUCUGGGCCGGCACUGACGCUGAGGAGCGAAAGCGUGGGGAGCGAACAGGAUUAGAUACCCCGGUAGUCC
Molecule: ribosomal RNA, 780 nt
Filed under: uncultured bacterium
Lineage: Bacteria
Description: bacterial SSU rRNA
Rfam family: Bacterial small subunit ribosomal RNA
Source: RNAcentral